RNAcentral lists this ribosomal RNA (301 nucleotides) under uncultured bacterium. RNAcentral describes it as "partial 16S ribosomal RNA". It matches the Rfam family "Bacterial small subunit ribosomal RNA", at positions 509 to 807 of the family's 1533-position model. The record is from RNAcentral.
CAGCCGCCACGGUAAAACGGAGGGGGCUAGCGUUGUUCGGAAUUACUGGGCGUAAAGCGCACGUAGGCGGCUCAGCAAGUCCGCUCUGAAAGCCCAGGGCUCAACCCUGGGAUGCGGGUGGAUACUGCUGAGCUCGAGUCCGGAAGAGGCGAGUGGAAUUCCUGGUGUAGCGGUGAAAUGCGCAGAUAUCAGGAGGAACACCGAUGGCGAAGGCAGCUCGCUGGGACGUGACUGACGCUGAGACGCGAAAGCAUGGGGAGCGAACAGGAUUAGAUACCCGAGUAGUCCCUGUCUCUUAUAC